This 605-nucleotide ribosomal RNA is filed under the name uncultured bacterium. RNAcentral describes it as "bacterial SSU rRNA". It matches the Rfam family "Bacterial small subunit ribosomal RNA", at positions 59 to 655 of the family's 1533-position model. The record is from RNAcentral.
AAGUCGAACGGAAACGAUGGGAGCUUGCUCCCAGGCGUCGAGUGGCGGACGGGUGAGUAAUACUUAGGAAUCUGCCCAAUAGUGGGGGACAACUCGGGGAAACUCGAGCUAAUACCGCAUACGCCCUACGGGGGAAAGCGGGGAAUCUUCGGACCUCGCGCUAUUGGAUGAGCCUAAGUCGGAUUAGCUUGUUGGUGGGGUAAAGGCCUACCAAGGCGACGAUCCGUAGCUGGUCUGAGAGGAUGAUCAGCCACACUGGGACUGAGACACGGCCCAGACUCCUACGGGAGGCAGCAGUAGGGAAUAUUGGACAAUGGGCGAAAGCCUGAUCCAGCAAUGCCGCGUGUGUGAAGAAGGCCUGCGGGUUGUAAAGCACUUUCAGUAGAGAAGAAAAGCUUAGGGAUAAUACCCCUGAGUCUUGACGUAACCUACAGAAGAAGCACCGGCUAACUCCGUGCCGGCAGCCGCGGUAAUACGGAGGGUGCGAGCGUUAAUCGGAAUUACUGGGCGUAAAGCGCGCGUAGGCGGCUUGGUAAGUCGGAUGUGAAAGCCCUGGGCUUAACCUGGGAACUGCAUUCGAUACUGCUGAGCUAGAGUAUGGUAGA